This 951-nucleotide ribosomal RNA is filed under the name Leuconostoc mesenteroides. Its description in RNAcentral is "bacterial SSU rRNA". It matches the Rfam family "Bacterial small subunit ribosomal RNA", at positions 31 to 964 of the family's 1533-position model. The record is from RNAcentral. Lineage: Bacteria; Bacillati; Bacillota; Bacilli; Lactobacillales; Lactobacillaceae.
GAGAGCUGGCGGCGUGCCUAAUACAUGCAAGUCGAACGCACAGCGAAAGGUGCUUGCACCUUUCAAGUGAGUGGCGAACGGGUGAGUAACACGUGGACAACCUGCCUCAAGGCUGGGGAUAACAUUUGGAAACAGAUGCUAAUACCGAAUAAAACUUAGUGUCGCAUGACGCAAAGUUAAAAGGCGCUUCGGCGUCACCUAGAGAUGGAUCCGCGGUGCAUUAGUUAGUUGGUGGGGUAAAGGCCUACCAAGACAAUGAUGCAUAGCCGAGUUGAGAGACUGAUCGGCCACAUUGGGACUGAGACACGGCCCAAACUCCUACGGGAGGCUGCAGUAGGGAAUCUUCCACAAUGGGCGAAAGCCUGAUGGAGCAACGCCGCGUGUGUGAUGAAGGCUUUCGGGUCGUAAAGCACUGUUGUAUGGGAAGAACAGCUAGAAUAGGAAAUGAUUUUAGUUUGACGGUACCAUACCAGAAAGGGACGGCUAAAUACGUGCCAGCAGCCGCGGUAAUACGUAUGUCCCGAGCGUUAUCCGGAUUUAUUGGGCGUAAAGCGAGCGCAGACGGUUUAUUAAGUCUGAUGUGAAAGCCCGGAGCUCAACUCCGGAAUGGCAUUGGAAACUGGUUAACUUGAGUGCAGUAGAGGUAAGUGGAACUCCAUGUGUAGCGGUGGAAUGCGUAGAUAUAUGGAAGAACACCAGUGGCGAAGGCGGCUUACUGGACUGCAACUGACGUUGAGGCUCGAAAGUGUGGGUAGCAAACAGGAUUAGAUACCCUGGUAGUCCACACCGUAAACGAUGAACACUAGGUGUUAGGAGGUUUCCGCCUCUUAGUGCCGAAGCUAACGCAUUAAGUGUUCCGCCUGGGGAGUACGACCGCAAGGUUGAAACUCAAAGGAAUUGACGGGGACCCGCACAAGCGGGGGAGCAUGUGUUUUAUUCAAAGCAACGCGA